RNAcentral lists this ribosomal RNA (717 nucleotides) under Triticum aestivum (bread wheat). Its description in RNAcentral is "partial small subunit ribosomal RNA". The record is from RNAcentral. Lineage: Eukaryota; Viridiplantae; Streptophyta; Magnoliopsida; Poales; Poaceae.
AUGAAAUUAGAAGGAUCUGAUACAAUGGCCCCAAAUACUGCAAAAAAAAAGGCACCUUUGCAUUUCUAUCAAUGGCCACAUUCAAAAGAAACUCGAAUGUUGACCCGGCGAGAUGCUACCAGGGCGCCCCAGCGCUCGAAGAUUGGCUGGCCAUCCCACCCCAGGGACGGAGGGGCCGACUGGUUGACCUUGGUGCUCGGGACGGGUGGUGCCCGGGGAGUGCGCUUGGGAGGCAUGAAAUUGCCCCUGCCCCCUGGCUCCAGCACGCCAAGUGGCCAACACUUUUUGGGCUGGCAUGACGUCGGGUCGGCCCAUUUUAACGGGUCCAGGGGACCCUCCUGGGACGCUGACAGUUCCCUGACUACUCCUGUGGCAUGUGUGGUGCUCACAGAAUCGAAUCUCGAGACCACCUGUUUUUGCAAUGUCCAUUUGCUACAUCCUCCUGGACUUACCUCUGCCCCUCUUGUACAACCCAGCAGAUGCCUAUCCAGCAAUGCAGCUCUGAGACACGACCUCCAUUUGCCUUUCUCCAUGGAUAUCAUCAUUUUAGCCUUCUGGGCAAUCUGGACUACAAGGGAUGAUAUAAUCUUGAAAGGAAUCCUCCCAAGCCUGUACAGAUGCGGGAGCAGACUUAAAAAGGACAUUCACUUCGUCAUCCACAGAGCAAAGAGAAAUACUUACUCAGACCUACAGGCAUGGGUGGAUGCAUUCAUUUAA